UGAGUUUGAUGAAGUUGUUCUGGUCUUUCGGGGCAAGUGAACACUUCUCUCAAUCCAUCUUACACCUGUGCACUUUGGGGGGAAGACCUGGAUUUAAGUUGGAUAACGACGGGUAAUCCUUAGUCUCCUCUUUCAUACCAAAUAACAGUCUUAGAAAGUCUAUUUUGCUUGAUGCAAAUUAAAUACAACUUUCAGCAACGGAUCUCUUGGCUCUCGCAUCGAUGAAGAACGCAGCGAAAUGCGAUAAGUAAUGUGAAUUGCAGAAUUCAGUGAAUCAUCGAAUCUUUGAACGCACCUUGCACUCCUUGGUAUUCCGAGGAGUAUGCCUGUUUGAGUGUCAUGAAAUUAUCAACCUUUUAGUGUUAUUACUAUGAGGCUUGGACUUGGAAGCUGCUGGCUGUUAGUCGGCUCUUCUUAAAUAUAUUAGCUGCUUGUCCGUGAGUUGGCUCAGAGUGUGAUAAGUAUCUGCACUUGGUGGCUGCUUGCAUUGGAUGUGGCUUCUAAUCGUCUUCGGACAACUUUUAAGAUCUGACCUCAAAUCAGGUAGGAUUACCCGCUGAACUUAAGCAUAUCAAUAAGCGGAGGAAAAGAAACUAACAAGGAUUCCCCUAGUAACGGCGAGUGAAGCGGGAAAAGCUCAAAUUUAAAAUCUGGCUGUCUUAGGCAGUCCGAGUUGUAAUCUGGAGAAGUGUUUUCUGUGCUGGACCGUGUACAAGUCUCUUGGAAUAGAGCGUCAUAGAGGGUGAGAAUCCCGUCUUUGACACGGACUACCAGGGCUAUAUGAUACACUCUCGAAGAGUCGAGUUGUUUGGGAAUGCAGCUCAAAAUGGGUGGUAAAUUCCAUCUAAAGCUAAAUACAGGCGAGAGACCGAUAGCGAACAAGUACCGUGAGGGAAAGAUGAAAAGCACUUUGGAAAGAGAGUUAAACAGUACGUGAAAUUGCUGAAAGGGAAACGCUUGAAGUCAGUCGCGUUAGUUGAGACUCAGCCUUGCUUUUGCUUGGUGCAUUUCUUGACUAAUGGGUCAACAUCAAUUUUGGCCACUGGAAAAAGGCUGGGGGAAUGUGGCUCCUCCGGGAGUGUUAUAGCCCUUGGUUGUAUACAGUGACUGGGAUUGAGGACCGCAGUGCGCCUUUAUGGUCGG
Molecule: ribosomal RNA, 1143 nt
Filed under: fungal sp.
Lineage: Eukaryota; Fungi
Description: eukaryotic LSU rRNA
Rfam family: Eukaryotic large subunit ribosomal RNA (bases 530-1143)
Source: RNAcentral